GCUCAUAUCUUGAGUAUUGAUUUGUGAUCAUGUGAUCUCUAUUCUACAGUGACCACAUAAACAUGAUUCGUUUCUUUGUCGCACCAACUCAUGUGCUUUGUUCCUUACAUUGAUGGGCUUAGUCCUUGACUUUAAUUAUCUCACCUUGAAUCUUUUCCUCUGCUAUGCCUAAUGGUUUUUUUGGGUUGUUUCACCUUGAGUCUUUUCCUCUUGCAUUGCUUUCCAUGAUGAAGAGUGGGGAGUUCCUGUCCAUGACAACAA
Molecule: long non-coding RNA, 261 nt
Filed under: Brassica rapa (field mustard)
Lineage: Eukaryota; Viridiplantae; Streptophyta; Magnoliopsida; Brassicales; Brassicaceae
Description: long non-coding RNA (BRAP_LNC005707)
Source: RNAcentral